UUCUGCCUACGGGGCGCAGCAGUGAGGAAUAUUGGUCAAUGGACGCAAGUCUGAACCAGCCAUGCCGCGUGCAGGAAGACGGCUCUAUGAGUUGUAAACUGCUUUUGUACGAGGGUAAACGCAGAUACGUGUAUCUGUCUGAAAGUAUCGUACGAAUAAGGAUCGGCUAACUCCGUGCCAGCAGCCGCGGUAAUACGGAGGAUGCGAGCGUUAUCCGGAUUUAUUGGGUUUAAAGGGUGCGCAGGCGGCGAGUUAAGUCAGCGGUAAAAUUUCGGGGCUCAACCCCGACGAGCCGUUGAAACUGG
Molecule: ribosomal RNA, 305 nt
Filed under: uncultured bacterium
Lineage: Bacteria
Description: bacterial SSU rRNA
Rfam family: Bacterial small subunit ribosomal RNA
Source: RNAcentral